UCCAUCAUCGUGACGGUUUUGUUCUUUCGAUUCGUCUCCAUCAAGCAAUCCUCUCUCUCUCUCUUGCAUCUGAAAAUUGACUUUGUUAGUCUAUAGAUUCAUGGUUUUGUUUCUGAUUUGGUAAAGUUGUCAUCUUUGAUUAUAUUUCACCCCUUUGAGUCCGCUCUCGAUGCCCUAAACCAAGUUAACGCCGUCUCUGAAGGGGUUAUGACUGCCGAGCUUAGAAGUUUUCUGGAGUUGAAUCUUCCUAAGGUCAAAGAAGGCAAGAAACCCAAGUUCAGCUUAGGAACCUCUGAGCCUAAACUCGGUUCCCACAUAUUGGAAGCCACCAAAAUCCCCUGCCAGAGCAAUGAGUUCGUUCUUGAGCUUCUCCGUGGUGUGCGUCUGCAUUUUGACAGCAUGGUGAUCUGGAAAAGUCUUUUCCUUGACCUCGUCUAAAGACAAGGGAGCUGAGUCAGAUGCCGAGUUCUAGAGUCAGAUGAUGAUGCUCAGGAAUGGUUUUGUAAUGGGAAGGACAACAGAUUCGGUUGAUCAUUUCCACAACUUGAGGCUUGAUGUUGAUAGUAUGUCAUACGAGGUUGGUUUAAUUGAAGGGCGAGUUGGUGUCCAUCAUCUGGAUGAUUCUCAACAGAACAAGAACUUCACAUUCAAAUGUCAACAGAGAUGGGAAUGAGAUCUAUUCUGUCAACGCUCUGAACUUCCACCCGAGGAUUUCGACGAAGCGAUUUUAUACCAAAGAACAAACCUGAUCAGUGCGAAUCAAGGACGUCGGUGCCCAAAACUCACAGGAGUAGGAGCUUCAACAGUGUUCACAAGAUAUUGUUGGGAGUACUUUAACCUUCCAAUUGAACAUAUCCCACUUCAACUUGACUGCAAAGCAUCAGAGCUUCACUGUUUCCCACAUUUAGGAACCGAUCAGCGUCCACCGCAGUCUAAUUUGGAGGUUCUGGGUGGGAAUAACAAUCUGGGAGAUGAUAUGUAAGGUGCUGGAGCAGUCAAAAAGAGCAACGUUUCUGGAGUUAAAAUAACCUAUGUGGAUCAUGGUACCUGUGUUGGCGAUGAAGCGGUUGAAGGUGGACUAGCUGAUGCAACUGCUCCAGGUCACAACUCUGUUAAUUGAAGGGAGAGGAGAGGAGUCACCAGUGAAGGAAGAUGGGUUCUCAGGAAAGAAGGCACCAAUCGAUUGACAUCGAAAGAGCAAGGGGAACCAAAGUUACAAGACACGAUGAUUUUUUCGUUGUAUUUCCAGACACUAUCAUAUCAAGUCCGACUACUUUAAAAAAUUUCUAUCAUUGGUUUCCUUGGGUUUUUAAACUCCACCAUAUCAGACAUUUUCAGUUAUAAAAUAAGGCAUCCUGUUUGCCAAAAAGAUAUUUUUCCUAACAAAUUAUAAUCAAAUAUUAACAAUUAAUGGAGAGGAUGGACUGAUCCGAAAUGCAUAUUUACGAAAACCAAACUUUGUUCUUAGAUUUUACAUUAACAAGUUUCACUAUUUGAAAGUUUAUUACCCUUUCCAAACAAUAAUAAUCAAAUAGUAAGCAAUUAGUGUAGGAUGGACGGAUGCCAAAUGCAAAUUCACAAACAAAACUAAAACAUUGUUCUUUUUUUUUUGUAUUGUAACUGAAAAACAAACACAUUUUAUUUUAGUAGCUAUGCAAUUAAAUGGAUCGAAAAAAUAUCAAAU
Molecule: long non-coding RNA, 1684 nt
Organism: Brassica rapa (field mustard)
Lineage: Eukaryota; Viridiplantae; Streptophyta; Magnoliopsida; Brassicales; Brassicaceae
Source: RefSeq, a predicted model, not a curated record